AUACGGAGGGUGCAAGCGUUACUCGGAAUCACUGGGCGUAAAGCGCGCGCAGGCGGGCUGAUAAGUUGGAUGUGAAAGCCUGCGGCUCAACCGUAGAACUGCAUCCAAAACUGUCAGUCUAGAGUGUGGGAGAGGAAGAUGGAAUUAGUUGUGUAGGGGUAAAAUCCGUAGAGAUAACUAGGAAUACCAAAAGCGAAGGCAAUCUUCUGGAACACUACUGACGCUGAGGCGCGAAGGCGUGGGGAGCAAACAGGAUUAGAUACCCGAGUAGUCC
RNAcentral lists this ribosomal RNA (274 nucleotides) under uncultured bacterium. Its description in RNAcentral is "partial 16S ribosomal RNA". It matches the Rfam family "Bacterial small subunit ribosomal RNA", at positions 523 to 796 of the family's 1533-position model. The record is from RNAcentral.